RNAcentral lists this ribosomal RNA (859 nucleotides) under uncultured bacterium. RNAcentral's name for it is "SSU rRNA". It matches the Rfam family "Bacterial small subunit ribosomal RNA", at positions 524 to 1381 of the family's 1533-position model. The record is from RNAcentral.
UACGAAGGGUGCUAGCGUUGUUCGGAAUCACUGGGCGUAAAGAGCGCGUAGGCGGCGAUGCAAGUCAGGGGUGAAAUCCCACAGCUUAACUCUGGAAUUGCCUUUGAAACUAUAUUGCUAGAGUGUCGGAGAGGAUGGCGGAAUUCCUAAUGUAGAGGUGAAAUUCGUAGAUAUUAGGAGGAACACCGGUGGCGAAGGCGGCCAUCUGGACCACUACUGACGCUGAGGCGCGAAAGCGUGGGGAUCAAACAGGAUUAGAUACCCUGGUAGUCCACGCCGUAAACGAUGGGUGCUAGCUGUAAGGCAGUUUACCCCUCUGUGGCGCAACUAACGCGUUAAGCACCCCGCCUGGGGAGUACGGUCGCAAGAUUAAAACUCAAAGAAAUUGACGGGGACCCGCACAAGCGGUGGAACAUGUGGUUUAAUUUGAGGCAACGCGAAGAGCCUUACCAGGGUUUGACAUGCUCUUUAAAUCCUCCCCAAAAGGAGGAGUCAGUUCGGCUGGAAGAUGCACAGGUGCUGCAUGGCUGUUGUCAGCUCGUGUCGUGAGAUGUUGGGUUAAGUUCCGCAACGAGCGCCACCCUCAUCCUCUGUUGCUAACAGGUAAUGCUGAGAACUUCGAGGAAACUGCCGGUGAUAAGCCGGAGGAAGGUGGGGAGGACGUCAAGUCUUCAUGGCCCUUACUCCAUGGGCUCCCCACGUGUUCCAAUGGCAGUGCCAAUGGGCAGCUAACCCGGGAGGGUAUGUGAAUCCCCAAAAGCUGCCUCAGUUUGGAUUGCAGUCUGCAACUCGAGUGCAUGAAAUUGGAAUCGCUAGUAAUGGUAGAUCAGCACGCUACGGUGAAUACGUUCCCGGGUCU